GCGCUGACCACCACCACGGCAGCCACAUCUGCUGCCUCCUUUAGUCGGGUAGCUUCUCCUCCCUCGCAUGAGCCACUUAUUUUUCUUGAUGCUAACAGAUAUGAGGCGUGGCAUAAUGCUAUGUGUGAGGAAAUUCAAGCCUUAUGCACAAACAGAACAUGGACUUUAGUGUCGUUUCAUCCGUCCAUGAAUGUUGUUGGUAGCCGAU
Molecule: long non-coding RNA, 208 nt
Filed under: Populus tremula
Lineage: Eukaryota; Viridiplantae; Streptophyta; Magnoliopsida; Malpighiales; Salicaceae
Description: long non-coding RNA (PTRE_LNC003038)
Source: RNAcentral